UGUCUCGCACUGUUGCUGCUGCGAAUAUCAGAUGCGUCUUUUUCUCGUCUGUUUAAUUUUGGUAGAAAACGCAAAUCCACACUGGUGGAUCGUGCAUACAGAAAACGAUGUCAUUGCAGAGCGACCAGGAGUUUUGAGGGGGGUCUUGUGCGUUCUGAGACCGCCCACCAGUGGUUGGCCCCGCCCAGGCGACCCGCGGACUUGGUAUGAGAGAACAAAGAAAAUGGUCAAAAUGAAAAAUUGAAGUCGUUUGAAAGAGGGGCUUGCGAAUGUGUCAUUCGGGACAAAAUGGUGGCCGGUCCCACAAACAUCCAUCUCCUCCUGGGACGGUCUCCUGCUGAAGAGGGGGGCAUGUCCAGGCUUGUCCGUUUCAUGUGCGAAGUGAUGCGCUCUCAAGAUGACAGUGAGUGACGUCAAAGGGCGUCAGUGAUGCGAGCCUGGAGCCCAAAGUGAAGCACUUCUUUUCACCCUGCACCCCUCCUUCUCCUCACAAAGAAUUACUGCAGAAGUGACAGCUGACCUUCAGCUGCUGAUUACAUGCACAGGACAUCAUAAGCUGUGUAGCACCCAUCGCCAGACUCUUGACUUACCUUUAGGAGAGUCUCAGCUCCUUCUUCAGUGUUUUGUGACAUAAACGGCUCUUCUGUG
Anguilla anguilla (European eel) is the source of this 648-nucleotide long non-coding RNA. RefSeq lists it as uncharacterized. The transcript is spliced from 3 exons. NCBI's taxonomy places the organism in Eukaryota, Metazoa, Chordata, Actinopteri, Anguilliformes, Anguillidae. The record is from RefSeq and is a predicted model, not a curated record.